UCGAGAAUUUUUCUCAAUGGGCGAAAGCCUGAAGGAGCGACGCCGCGUGGGGGAUGAAUGGCUUCGGCCCGUAAACCCCUGUCAUUCGCGAACAAAUUAUUUCACUUAACACGUGAAGUAUUGAUUGUAGCGGAAGAGGAAGGGACGGCUAACUCUGUGCCAGCAGCCGCGGUAAUACAGAGGUCCCAAGCGUUGUUCGGAUUCACUGGGCGUAAAGGGUGCGUAGGCGGUUAGGUAAGUCUGUUGUGAAAUCUCCGAGCUUAACUCGGAAACUGCAGUGGAUACUAUCUAACUAGAGGAAUGGAGGGGAGACUGGAAUACUUGGUGUAGCAGUGAAAUGCGUAGAUAUCAAGUGGAACACCAGUGGCGAAGGCGAGUCUCUGGACAUUUCCUGACGCUGAGGCACGAAAGCCAGGGGAGCAAACGGGAUUAGAUACCCCGGUAGUCC
RNAcentral lists this ribosomal RNA (448 nucleotides) under uncultured bacterium. RNAcentral's name for it is "bacterial SSU rRNA". It matches the Rfam family "Bacterial small subunit ribosomal RNA", at positions 355 to 796 of the family's 1533-position model. The record is from RNAcentral.